RNAcentral lists this ribosomal RNA (253 nucleotides) under uncultured bacterium. Its description in RNAcentral is "partial 16S ribosomal RNA". It matches the Rfam family "Bacterial small subunit ribosomal RNA", at positions 524 to 776 of the family's 1533-position model. The record is from RNAcentral. RNAcentral also lists the same sequence under 1 other name.
UACAGAGGUGGCAAGCGUUGUUCGGAAUUACUGGGCGUAAAGGGCGCGUAGGCGGCCUUGUAAGUCUCGUGUGAAAGCCCUCGGCUUAACUGAGGAUCUGCACGGGAUACUGCGAGGCUUGAGUUCGGGAGAGGAAAGCGGAAUUCCGGGUGUAGCGGUGAAAUGCGUAGAUAUCCGGAGGAACACCAGUGGCGAAGGCGGCUUUCUGGACCGACACUGACGCUGAUGCGCGAAAGCUAGGGGAGCAAACGGG